Solea senegalensis (Senegalese sole) is the source of this 1608-nucleotide RNA transcript. It is a transcript of the gene named COP9 constitutive photomorphogenic homolog subunit 7A, with no coding region annotated. NCBI's taxonomy places the organism in Eukaryota, Metazoa, Chordata, Actinopteri, Pleuronectiformes, Soleidae. The transcript is spliced from 7 exons. The record is from RefSeq and is a predicted model, not a curated record.
UUGCGUUGCUUUGUUGUCGUACGUGAUACUGACAAUCGAGAGAGUGGCUAUCUGCUAGAAACCAACAAAACAAGAUGGAGGUGGAGCAGCUCUUGUCUCUGUCAGGCUCAGCACUGGCCCAGGCUGUUAGCUCUCUGCUGGAGACCCCAGGACUCUACGUCUUCUCUGACAUCUUGGAGUUGCCUAAUGUUAGAGAGCUGGAGAAUGGCCCUCAUGCACCAGUGUACCAGCUCCUGAACCUCUUUGCCUAUGGAACCUACUGCGACUACAAAGAGAGAGCAGCCUCUCUUCCAGAGUUGACCCCCGCACAGAGAAAUAAACUCCGUCAUCUGUCCAUCAUCAGCUUGGCUUCCAACCUCAAGUGCCUGCCGUACUCACUCCUCCUGCAGCAGCUGGAGCUGAAGAAUGUGCGGGAGCUGGAGGACCUGCUGAUCGAGGCCGUCUAUUGCGACAUCAUCCAGGGUAAACUAGACCAGAGGAACCAGCAGGUGGAGGUGGACUGCAGCGUGGGUCGUGACCUCGGCCCCAACGAGCUCCCAAACAUAAUCAACACUUUGCAAGAGUGGUGCACAGGCUGUGAGGCCGUAUUGUGUGGCAUCGAGGAGCAGGUCUCACGAGCCAAUCAGUACAGAGAGAGCCAGCUGAAGGUCAAAGUCCAAGUGGAAACAGAGGUCAGUCCCUCAUCCUGUCAGCUUUCAGCUCUUCCACCCCACUCUCUCUCUCUCUCUCUCUCUCUCUCCCUCUCCAGAUAAUCCAGUCAUUAUAGGUCUCUGUUUUUUUUUUUGCUUCAAGCUACUGUUGGUAUUUUAGUUUCCUCCUGAAUUUAUAUUUCCUUUUCUGCGUCUUGUUUAAGACUUAACUCAUACAGCAGCAGCAGCAUGCUCACAUCUCCAACUUUAAAUGAUUCACAGUUUUUGUAAGUUGGCCUCAAAGGUUUGGGCCCCAUAACAACUUUGAAAACAGAUUUUUAUUAAUGUUGUCCAAGGUCACACUCGCCUCGCUACAAACAACUACAGCAGCUAAGAAAGUCAAGAAGGGAGUUUUGGGAACUUUAAUGUCGUCAGUCUCUGUAUCAUAGGAUCCUAUUUAAUGCUAAUGUGGAUCCUCACAUUAGCAUUAAACGCUUUUUACAUUUUUGGCCAGUAUGGUUGCAGCAUUACUACAUUACUGUUAGGCAUACGUCGCAUGUCCGUGCAUCCGUUAGGGUCCACAUGUCAUAAGUUAUGUCAUCCACCCUUUUUCGCGGUGGUCCGUGUGGACUGUAUGCGCCAACCGUGCAUGCUUCCUGUAGCGCAACACAAGAUAACGAUGAAAGCAGUAGCCAUGGAAACUUGCCUGACGUUAUGAGGAAGUUCAAUGGUACACCACAGAUGUACAACUCUGCGGUUAAAGAAUACAAGGACGUACAAAAGAAGAUGAACACCUGGAAAGUGGGAUGUGAGAUCGAGUACACGUGCAUGGACACGGACCCUUCUUUUAAAACUGUGGCAUGAAUGCGCAGAUGGAAAUGGGACAUGGCUCUCGACAGAUGCAGGUCGUGGCCCCGCCCCUGCUGGAGCCGCCUCCAAUCAGGAUGCAGACCAGCCUGCUGAGCCUCGAGACCCCGCC